This 253-nucleotide ribosomal RNA is filed under the name uncultured bacterium. RNAcentral's name for it is "partial 16S ribosomal RNA". It matches the Rfam family "Bacterial small subunit ribosomal RNA", at positions 524 to 776 of the family's 1533-position model. The record is from RNAcentral.
AACGUAGGACACAAGCGUUAUCCGGAGUUACUGGGCGUAAAGGGAGCGUAGGUGGGUUGGUAAGUCAGUGGUGAAAUCUUCGAGCUUAACUCGGAAACUGCCAUUGAUACUAUCAAUCUUGAAUUAUCUGGAGGUAAGCGGAAUAUGUCAUGUAGCGGUGAAAUGCUUAGAUAUGACAUAGAACACCAAUUGCGAAGGCAGCUUACUACGGAUAUAUUGACACUGAGGCUCGAAAGCGUGGGGAUCAAACAGG